This 544-nucleotide long non-coding RNA is filed under the name Gossypium raimondii (Peruvian cotton). RNAcentral describes it as "long non-coding RNA (GRAI_LNC001883)". Lineage: Eukaryota; Viridiplantae; Streptophyta; Magnoliopsida; Malvales; Malvaceae. The record is from RNAcentral.
UGUAAUACCAAUUAUUUGCCCUGCCCAAUCAAUAAUAAAAUACAAUAGCAGGCCCAAUAAAAUUAAAACUCAAUAGCCAAUUUCAACCCUAGUCCAACAGAAAAUGGCCCAAAACACCAGCAAGAAGCCUAGGCGCAGCAGCUCCCACACGCACGCCGCAACAGCGCUCGCACACCGUGUUUGUCGCUCCGCGCCCGUCGCGCGCACUCCACGGUCACCAAACCUGCGAAAAAGGGGGACACAAGCACAGCAAAUAACAGAAAGAAGUGGGGUUUUUGAUUUUUUUUCAGAUUUUUAGUUUUAAUCGGCUAUAUAAAGCCGAUGAAAGUCUGUAACAAAGGGGGGGGAGACAGGAAAAAAGGGAGAAAAAGGAGAUUGUAUUGAAAAAUAUUAAGAAAUACGAAAACAAGAUUCAAGGAAUCCCGAAGGUUUUGUUCAUUUUUUGAGACUUCUUCUUUCUUUUUCUAUUUCUAUUUUAUGUUUUUGUUCUUUUUAAAAAUAAUAAUAAAGGAAGAAGGAGGAGUUGCUUACCUUUCGAUCGGCG